AGAGUUUGAUCAUGGCUCAGAACGAACGCUGCGGCAUGCCUAACACAUGCAAGUCGAACGAUGCCUUCGGGCAUAGUGGCGCACGGGUGCGUAACGCGUGGGAAUCUGCCUUGGGUUCGGAAUAACUCAGAGAAAUUUGAGCUAAUACCGGAUGAUGACGUAAGUCCAAAGAUUUAUCGCCCAAGGAUGAGCCCGCGUAAGAUUAGCUAGUUGGUGGGGUAAAGGCCUACCAAGGCGACGAUCUUUAGCUGGUCUGAGAGGAUGAUCAGCCACACUGGGACUGAGACACGGCCCAGACUCCUACGGGAGGCAGCAGUGGGGAAUAUUGGACAAUGGGCGAAAGCCUGAUCCAGCAAUGCCGCGUGAGUGAUGAAGGCCUUAGGGUUGUAAAGCUCUUUUACCAGGGAUGAUAAUGACAGUACCUGGAGAAUAAGCUCCGGCUAACUCCGUG
This 451-nucleotide ribosomal RNA is filed under the name uncultured bacterium. Its description in RNAcentral is "bacterial SSU rRNA". It matches the Rfam family "Bacterial small subunit ribosomal RNA", at positions 8 to 507 of the family's 1533-position model. The record is from RNAcentral.